CGGCGGUGGAAAUAGGGUUUCAUGGUGCUCCUGGAUGUUUUCGGGGUAUAUGGGUAUAUAUAGGAGGAAGAAGUAGGUCGGUGGAGCUGCGAGGGGCCCACGAGGGUGGGGGCGCGCCUAGGGGGGCAGGCGCGCCUCCCUGCCUUGUGGCCUCCUCGAUUCUUUCUUGACGUCCACUCCAAGUCCUCUGGAUCACGUUUGUUACAAAA
This 209-nucleotide ribosomal RNA is filed under the name Triticum aestivum (bread wheat). RNAcentral's name for it is "partial small subunit ribosomal RNA". The record is from RNAcentral. Lineage: Eukaryota; Viridiplantae; Streptophyta; Magnoliopsida; Poales; Poaceae.